UACGUAGGGAGCAAGCGUUGUCCGGAAUCAUUGGGCGUAAAGAGCGUGUAGGCGGCCUGAAAGGUCAGCUGUGAAAACUCGAGGCUCAACCUCGAGACGUCGGUUGAAACCAUCUGGCUAGAGUCCGGAAGAGGAGUGUGGAAUUCCCGGUGUAGCGGUGAAAUGCGCAGAUAUCGGGAAGAACACCCGGUGGCGAAGGCGGCACUCUGGGACGGUACUGACGCUGAGACGGCGAAAGCGUGGGGAGCGAACAGG
RNAcentral lists this ribosomal RNA (255 nucleotides) under uncultured bacterium. RNAcentral's name for it is "partial 16S ribosomal RNA". It matches the Rfam family "Bacterial small subunit ribosomal RNA", at positions 524 to 776 of the family's 1533-position model. The record is from RNAcentral.